This 28-nucleotide small RNA is filed under the name Bombyx mori (domestic silkworm). RNAcentral describes it as "piRNA piR-bmo-2050267". Lineage: Eukaryota; Metazoa; Arthropoda; Insecta; Lepidoptera; Bombycidae. The record is from RNAcentral.
UUGCUUUUAGAUAGACUUCUUCUGCUGC